Clupea harengus (Atlantic herring) is the source of this 4356-nucleotide long non-coding RNA. Lineage: Eukaryota; Metazoa; Chordata; Actinopteri; Clupeiformes; Clupeidae. The record is from Ensembl.
CUGCACACUGCCAUGACCAUAUCUUUCCCCCCUCCCAUAGUGACAAUGAAAUGGCAGCAACCUUUACUGCCAGCCAUUGGCAGAAGAGCUCCGUAGUGAUGACUCCUGAUUGGCCAAGCCUGGCAGCUUCCCCCGACCAAUCACGGCGCCUGUAUCCAUGAGAACGAAGCUUGUGGAGCUAUUUAAAUCUAGCCAGAGUGCACAAGACUGCAUAUAUGUACAUCUUACUUUGAGAGAGACAUACAGAGAGGAGAGACAUAGAGAGAGAGCAGAGGGAAAAGAGAAGAAUUAAAGAAAUGAGAAUGUUUAGUUUAUGGUCUGGUGGACAAAUCUGGCAAGAGUCUGAUGCUGCAUGAAUUGGUUGACCCGCAGUUGCAGGGUUAAACUGACCUGGUACAGCCUCGGAUACUGUGACCGUGUGCACUACUGUAUUCUGUUGUCUCUCGUACUUUCUCUGCUUUUCUCCCUAAAUGCCCGUGUGUGUGUGUGUCUGUGUGUGUGGCUGUAUGUACUGGUAGAACUGGUGUGUGUUCAUGCUGAUGCCUUCUCUGCCCGUCCUGUCUGAAAUGGGGGCUAACACUGGGCAUUGGCAGGACGGUGAAAUCGGGUGGACAGAUUGCAAAGCCGGAGGACUGCACAACAACUGUGGAAGGGCACAGAGGAAUCAGGUCCUCAAAUGGUGGCCAAAAAGGUAAAGCUUCUGUGCAUUAAUGCCCAGCCAGUGACGCAGUUUUUGAAAACGGCAUUUGCCGACUGGCUGGAUUGAAAGAUUUUCAAGAACUGUUUCAGGAAGUGUUGAGAGUGUUGUGUUAUCAAUUCAAUUCUGAUUUUACGGGUUUAAAAAAACAAUUUGAACACGCAAAAAAAAGAAACUAACUUCAGAACUGGGCAUGACCCGUUGCACUGAAGAUCAACUGCCGAUCAUUACAGUGAUGACAAUACAUUCUGUUCUAGAAUGGCUUGCAUGAUACACUACAAGUGAUCUUCUUGAUGCAUUCUAAACAACAGAAACUCAACAGAUUUUUUGGAGAAAAGUAAAACAUAAAACAUACAUUUAGUUAUUUUGAUCUACCCCAGGACUGCGGACAGCUUGACGCUAAAUCUCAUGGAAAGCAUGUCUUCUCAUUGGUUCCUGAUGAAUAAGCAUCUGAUGAAUAAAUACUGUCAUACUUUUUUUUUAUACAAAUUUUAACAAAUUUCAUAAAGGGCAUUUUGUGUUUAUGUGUGUUAGUGUGUGGUUAUUACAGUGUUUCCAGCUCAGUUACUAAGUGGAAAACGUUGCAUUCACUAUUUUCCACUAGUCAUUAGCAAUAUAGUUCAUCUUCAACAGAAGAGACCUCUGCAAUUUGAACCGUUUUCAUGGGACAUUUGAGCACAUGAUUACAAGCUUAAGCGUUUGUUGAUCCACCGUGCCACCAUGAGAUAAAAGUCAACCAUGUAAACUGCAUGUUAAUAGUUAUCUGUUUUGUGCUUACAUUAAUCUUAUGACAAAUGGCAAUACAAAUGUCUCCAUUCUAGGCACAAAUUGCAUUGUUAUUUCUAAUUAUUUUUGCUUUUUUUAUAGUUGUUGAUAAUGGUUAGUAAUAUGCUAGGUGGCUUUAUCUCAUGACAAAAUGCCAAUAAAAUUCUCACCAUUAUGUGCACAAAUUGUGUUGUUGUUUUUUUACUGCUUCUGAUGCUCUUGUACUGAAUGUGCCAACUGCUGACUCAUGCGUAUCCAGUGAUCUUAGAGAGGACCAGAGGGAGGUCAGAUUAUUGAUUAGGGAACCACUGAGAAAAUAUGAAUGAAUUAGUCAUAUGUAAUUUAUACACAAUAUCUUUUAGUAUUGGAUUGGUGCCUAUGUUCUUUAGAGGGCAAGUUUGUAUUAGUCAUUUUCAAAUUAGCUUAUUAUGCUAUUCCCCUUGUGCUGAUAUAGUUCAUCUUCAGAGGAGUGCUUGAUGGUUUGAGCUGUUUUCAGUGGACAUUUAAGUAUGUGUUUACAAGCUUACGUGUUUCAACAUGGCGUCACGAAGAGUAUUAUGAAAACAGCUGCAAGUUCAGUCCUUAGUAUUCUGCUAUGUGGUUUUGUCUCAUGUUUUGACGAAAUACCAAUAAUAUUAUCCUCAUAAUGUGCAUAAAUUACAUUGUUGAUUUUACUGCUGUUGAUUAUUUUGUUAUUGCUCACACAUUAGAUGAGCAACCAACUACUGACUCAUGAACAUCCAAAGAUCUUAUUGACUACAGGGAGGUUACAAUAUUGCUUAGGAGGACACAGAGCAAAUAUGAAUGAAUUAAUGACUCAUGUGAUUUAUGAAAUAUGUUUUCUGGUGGUAGGAGGGUGGUGGGUUUGUAUCUAUCUAUCUAUCUAUCUAUCUAUAUUCUAUAUAUCAUAAAAUCAACAUUUCUGUAAAUUUCACAAGCCAAGGGUGUCUGUGUGCGUCUGUGCGUGUGUACGUGUUUGGCUAUUAAAAUGACUGCAACAUUAGUUUAGUCAGAGCGGGCCUUUAGCCUUUAGCCUAGGCUUUACUCAUCAUUUGCAAAUUUGAAAGAUAUACCAUUCACAUAAGAAUAAUAGUUCACCUCCAACAGAGACGUCCUCUCUGGUUUGAGCAGUUUUCCCUAGAUAUCGAGGCACACGACUACAAGCUGAAAAGACGGUAGAUCCGGUAUACCACCAUGACGUGGAAGUGUAUGUUUUAUGUGUGUAUUAUGUUCAUUGUCAUUGUAAUCAACUAUGUUGUUUGUUUUAUGACAAUGGCAACAUAUUCUUUCAACUGUAUGAACAAACUGUGUUGUCUUUUUAAAACUGAUUGUCUUGUUAUUGCUGUCACACUGCAUGAGCAACCAACUGCAACUCAUGUACAUCCAAAGAUCUUAUAGGUGACUAGAAAUCAGAUUGGACUAGUGGUGGGUCUGCAUAGGCUAGGUUCUGUAUUUAAUAUCAUAUGACAUCAGAGUUUUCGUAAGACUUUUUUUGACAGCAAAUAUGGCUGUUAAUAUUCCAGAAUUCUGGACAUUUAGAACAACUAAUGGACAUAUAUUUUAAAUACUGAUUCAUUAUGUCUGUAUAAUCCUGCAUCGCUUUCAAAAUCUGUUAACCUAGCAAACUGAUGGCAUGCAAUGUCGUUUUUUGUCAUGUGGUAAACAACUUCUAGCUCCGAGAUGAGUGUGUCUUUUCUUGACUUGAUCGCGUCUUUUCUUGACUUGAUCGCAUUAUCUCAGUGCAGCUUCAUGGCACUUUGCUGUUGUGUUAAAUUAACAGCUGAUGUAUGGUCAAAGCAUUGACUGUGUUCUGUAAAUGCAGAGGAUUUCAAAUUGAUUAUCCCUUUGAUAAAGUCUUUUUUUCUACACAGAAGGUACACAACCUACAUUCUAAAAUGGAACACUUUAACACAAUUAAAUAUUAACAUGGAACCCGCAGAAUUCUAGGAACUACAUACAUCAAACACCCCCACACGCAGAAACACUCUACCCCCCUACAUGCUACAAUAUAUUAUAAAUGAAUGUAUGUAUUUAUUUAUGUAUUUGGCAUAUUUCCCUCUGGACAUUGUGAGCACUGAUAUUUUCAUCUGCCGGACAACUACAUGUGAAAUGUAUUAGAUGUUCCCUGCUAUGUUAAAUUAGGUUUGCAGGGUUUUUCCCCUACAUUCUAUGACAAAACACUGACAACUACAUUCAGCAAAACAAAUACCUCAACAAUGAAUGUCUAAUAAAGUAGGUGUGCAAAAAAGAGGUCCCCCCACACACAAAAGAAAGUAGCAGGGUUUCCCCAACUGCAUUCUGGGUGGGGAGCAUUGGCGAUGGUUAAGAUGGGAAGAAGGGCUGGUACUUCACCACCAUCACACCAAAGUCAAAGUUAUGUCACUGGACGGUGAAACAGAGUAAUCUGAGAUCUUUGCAGAAGUACAACAUGGCAACACACUAGCUCCUUUUUUUCAGUAUCAAAUCAAUUGAAUUCAAUUGAAUUCAAUUAUCGUGCUAGGCUACACUCUUAGCAAAAAAAAUAGCUGAUCAUGAGCACCUGGGUUUCAAUAUCCCCCCUAGUAGAUAAAGAAGGAUUAUUAAAACCUGCAACCGCAAAAUGGCUAAACAAUGGAAUCCCAUGGAGCAAGCAGGCACAUCAAAGUAAACCGUUUGUUGUAGGCAAAUCAGCACUGAAUGGGGUGCUAAGUCAGAGACUGAGAAAGAUCGUCCAGGGACCGAUUUUUGAUCAUUUUUGUCCCAAGUUGGUUUGCUAACUUCAUUCAUUCAUUCAUUCAUUCAAGGGUAACAUUAAUGUUUCCAUUCCUUAUUCCAUUGACUGGACAGUCAAACGGAGAUGCUUCCUGAAGUAACUUAAGUUAACUAAUAUUAAAUUAACACCAGCUGAGUAGCCU